This 1344-nucleotide ribosomal RNA is filed under the name uncultured bacterium. Its description in RNAcentral is "bacterial SSU rRNA". It matches the Rfam family "Bacterial small subunit ribosomal RNA", at positions 28 to 1381 of the family's 1533-position model. The record is from RNAcentral.
AUUGAACGCUGGCGGCAGACUUAACACAUGCAAGUCGAACGAUGGAACCUAGCUUGCUAGGGGAAAUAGUGGCGAACGGGUGAGUAACAUUUAGGAAACUGCCUUAUAGAGGGGGAUAGCUCGGGGAAACUCGAAUUAAUACCGCAUACGUCCUACGGGAGAAGGGAGGCGAAAGCUUUCGCUAUAAGAUGUGCCUAAAUUAGAUUAGCUAGAUGGUGAGGUAAAGGCUCACCAUGGCGACGAUCUAUAACUGGUCUUAGAGGAUGAUCAGUCACACCGGAACUGAGACACGGUCCGGACUCCUACGGGAGGCAGCAGUGGGGAAUAUUGGACAAUGGGGGCAACCCUGAUCCAGCCAUGCCGCGUGUGUGAAGAAGGUCAUAAGAUUGUAAAGCACUUUAAGCAGGGAGGAAGAGCUAGUCAAGAAACGGGCUAGUAGUGACGUUACCUGCAGAAUAAGCACCGGCUAACUCUGUGCCAGCAGCCGCGGUAAUACAGAGGGUGCGAGCGUUAAUCGGAAUUACUGGGCGUAAAGCGGGUGCAGGUGGUGCACUAAGUCAUAUGUGAAAGCCCUGGGCUUAACCUAGGAACAGCAUAUGAUACUGGUGAACUAGAGUAUAUGAGAGGGAAGUAGAAUUUUUAGUGUAGCGGUGAAAUGCGUAGAGAUCUGGAGGAAUACCGAUGGCGAAGGCGACUUUCUGGCACAAUACUGACGCUGAGGAACGAAAGCGUGGGUAGCAAACAGGAUUAGAUACCCUGGUAGUCCACGCUGUAAACGAUGAGUGCUAGGUGUCGGCGUAAGUCGGUGCCGCAGUUAACACAAUAAGCACUCCGCCUGGGGAGUACGUGCGCAAGCAUGAAACUCAAAGGAAUUGACGGGGACCCGCACAAGCAGCGGAGCAUGUGGUUUAAUUCGAAGCAACGCGAAGAACCUUACCAGGGCUUGACAUACUGAGGACAAGUAUAGAGAUAUACCGUCUUCUUCGGAAGCCUCAAUACAGGUGGUGCAUGGUUGUCGUCAGCUCGUGUCGUGAGAUGUUGGGUUAAGUCCCGCAACGAGCGCAACCCUUAUCUUUAGUUGCCAGCAUUUCGGAUGGGAACUCUAAAGAGACUGCCGAUGAUAAAUCGGAGGAAGGUGGGGAUGACGUCAAAUCAUCAUGCCCUAUAUGCCCUGGGCUACACACGUGCUACAAUGGAAGGUACAAAGGGAAGCAAGAUAGUGAUAUUAAGCAAACCUCAAAAAGCCUUUCCCAGUUCGGAUUGUACUCUGCAACUCGAGUACAUGAAGAUGGAGUUGCUAGUAAUCGCAGAUCAGAAUGCUGCGGUGAAUGCGUUCCCGGGUCU